GUGGGGUUUAUGGUAUGGGCCCCAUGGUGGAGGUGGGGUUUAUGGUAUGGGCCCCAUGGUGGAGGUGGGGUUUAUGGUAUGGGCCCCAUGGUGGAGGUGGGGUUAUGGUAUGGGCCCCAUGGUGGAGAUGUGGGGAUAUGGUAUGGGCCCCAUGGUGGAGAUGUGGGGUUUGUGGUAUGGGCCCCAUGGUGGAGGUGGGGUUAUGGUAUGGGCCCCAUGGUGGAGAUGUGGGGUUUGUGGUAUGGGCCCCAUGGUGGAGAUGUGGGGUUAUGGUGUUUGUGGUAUGGGCCCCAUGGUGGAGAUGGGGUUAUGGUAUGGGCCCCAUGGUGGAGGUGGGGAUAUGGUAUGGGCCCCAUGGUGGAGCAACACUAUGUCAACUAAACAGGAUCUGAUUGGAUCGAGCCCUGGGUUUUUCUGAUUUAAAAACUAAAAUAAUUGUGUGACUUCCAGCUGUUUUUAAAUCGACAUGCACCACAGCAGGUAAUUGUUCCAUCUGUUUUCUAUGUAAAUAUCAACCCCCCACAAAAUAAGUUACUGGAAGUGUAGCUACUGAUGGUC
This 558-nucleotide long non-coding RNA is filed under the name Salmo salar (Atlantic salmon). RNAcentral's name for it is "lncRNA (ENSSSAG00000105908.1)". Lineage: Eukaryota; Metazoa; Chordata; Actinopteri; Salmoniformes; Salmonidae. The record is from RNAcentral.